UACGAAGGGGGCUAGCGUUGCUCGGAAUGACUGGGCGUAAAGCGCGCGUAGGCGGCCACAUAAGUCUGGGGUGAAAGGUUCACGGCUCAACCGGAACAGUGCCUUGGAAACUAUGUGGCUUGAGUGUGGCAGAGGAGCAUGGAAUUCCUGGUGUAGCGGUGAAAUGCGUAGAUAUCAGGAGGAACACCGGUGGCGAAGGCGGUGCUCUGGGCUAACACUGACGCUGAGGCGCGAAAGCGUGGGGAGCAAACAGG
This 254-nucleotide ribosomal RNA is filed under the name uncultured bacterium. RNAcentral's name for it is "partial 16S ribosomal RNA". It matches the Rfam family "Bacterial small subunit ribosomal RNA", at positions 524 to 776 of the family's 1533-position model. The record is from RNAcentral.